CAGUAGUCUCCACAGGAGCAAACCCCAUCCUUGAAAUGGUGGAACCUGCGUGAGUCUCUUACGAUGAUAUCUCUGUUCACAAUCUUUGAUAUCAUCUUGAUGACAGCAUGGCAAUCUAGGCACGCAGUCAGAUUCUUCAUAAUCCUGAUAGGUGUCCCAGCUGGGGUGUUCAUCAGAGCAAAUGCAAUGGCCAAUCUCUCACUGUGGUAUUUUAACGACUCCAGCUUUAACUCAUGAUCCACCAUAUGCAAGGCACAGGUUAUGUCGGGCUUAUAGCCUUGUUUAUCCAUCUCUUUGUAUAAUCUGUCUAGCUCGUCUUUAAUCUCAUCUAUCAUUGGGCUGGUUAGAUCAUUUGAAGCAAAGCUGUAUAUCUUUUGCUUGAUUUCAACCCAACUGUAACCCGACUCUUUCCUAACCCCUCUGUCUCUCAUAAUCUUCUUCACGCAUGCAGCAUCUUCCCACUGACCAGCUCUGGCAUAUAUGUUGGACAAUAUAACAUAGGGUGUUGCAUCUGUGGGUUCCAUACCGAACAGUUUAUCAGCUGCCACUCUAGCUAAUUCCUGGUUUCCAUGAAUUCGACACGAGUGAAGAAUGGAGGUCCAUAUUAUUGGAUCAGCCUUGAAUGGCAUCUCAACCAACAUUUUCUGAACUUGAGAAAAACAGCCUACCCGACCCAAUGUAUCUAUAACACAAGCAUAGUGUUCCUUCCAGGGUGAUAUACUAUAUUGGUGUUUCAUCAAGUGAAAGUACUUCAUGCAUUCAUCUGCAAGACCAUUGUGACUGCAUGCUGCUAGAACACUCAAGAAGGUGACUGAAUCUGGAUUAAAACCACAAUGAAGCAUGCCUUCAAACAUCUUGAUGGCAUUCUUUGCCUCUCCAUAGUGAGCGUAGGCUGAAAUAACAGCAUUCCACGAGAUGGAAUUCCUCUCAGGCAUCUCAUCAAAUGUCCGAAGUGCCUCGUCCAAACAGCCACACUUAGCGUACAUGUCAACAAGG
RNAcentral lists this small RNA (996 nucleotides) under Oryza sativa Japonica Group (Japanese rice). Its description in RNAcentral is "sRNA Os01g0101175". Lineage: Eukaryota; Viridiplantae; Streptophyta; Magnoliopsida; Poales; Poaceae. The record is from RNAcentral.